GUCGUCAAUAGUGUGCGGCAAAUCCAAACCUACAAGGAGAUAGAGAAUUGAGUGAGGGGGCGUGGCCUGUGUGUCUGUAAAUCUCAGUGAAAGAUGUAUGGCCUCUGUGUCCUAGUGAAGGAGGCGUGGCCUCUGUGCCAUAGUCACAGUAAAGGAGGUGUGGCCUCUGUGUGUCAGUCACAGUAAAGGAGGUGUAGCCUCUGUGUGUCAGUCACAGUAAAGGAGGUGUGGCCUCUGUGUCCUAGUGAAGGAGGCGUGGCCUCUGUGCCAUAGUCACAGUAAAGGAGGUGUGGCCUCUGUGUGUCAGUCACAGUAAAGGAGGUAUGGCCUCUAUGUGUCAGUGACAGUAAAGGAGGUGUGGCCUCUGUGUGUCAGUCACAGUAAAGGAGGUGUGGCCUCUGUGUGUCAGUCACAGUAAAGGAGGUGUGGCCUCUGUGUGUCGGUCACAGUAAAGGAGGUAUGGCCUCUGUGUGUCAGUCACAGUAAAGGAGGUGUGGCCUCUGUGUCCUAGUGAAGGAGGCGUGGCCUCUGUGCCAUUGUCACAGUAAAGGAGGUGUGGCCUCUGUGUGUCAGUCACAGUAAAGGAGGUAUGGCCUCUAUGUGUCAGUCACAGUAAAGGAGGUGUGGCCUCUGUGUGUCAGUCACAGUAAAGGAGGUGUGGCCUCUGUGUGUCAGUCACAGUAAAGGAGGUGUGGCCUCUGUGUGUCAGUCACAGUAAAGGAGGUGUAGCCUCUGUGUGUCAGUCACAGUAAAGGAGGUAUGGCCUCUAUGUGUCAGUCAUAGUAAAGGAGGUGUGGCCUCUGUGUCCUAGUGAAGGAGGCGUGGCCUCUGUGCCAUAGUCACAGUAAAGGAGGUGUGGCCUCUGUGUGUCAGUCACGGUAAAGGAGGUAUGGCCUCUGUGUGUUAGUCUCAGUGAAGGAGGUGUGGCCUCUGUGUCUCAGUCUUAGUGAAGGAGGUGUGGCCUCUGUGUGUCAGUCACAGUAAAGGAGGCGUGGCCUCUGUGUGUUAGUCUCAGUGAAGGAGGUGUGGCCUCUGUGUCUCAGUCUUAGUGAAGGAGGUGUGGCCUCUGUGUGUCAGUCACAGUGAAGGAGGUGUGGCUUCUGUGUCUCAGUCUCAGUGAAGGAGGUGUGGUCUCUGUGUCAUAGUCUCAGUGAAGGAGGUGUGACCUCUGUGUCUCAGUCUUAGUGAAGGAGGUGUGGCCUCUAUGUGUCAGUCACAGUAAAGGAGGUGUGGUCUCUGUGUGUUAGUCUCAGUGAAGGAGGUGUGGCCUCUGUAUCUCAAUCAUAGUGAAGGAGGCGUGGCCUCUGUGUCUCAGACACAGUGAAGGAGGUGUGGCCUCUGUGUCUCAGUCUUAGUGAAGGAGGUGUGGCCUCUGUGUGUCAGUCACAGUAAAGGAGGUAUGGCCUCUGUGUGUUAGUCUCAGUGAAGGAGGUGUGGCCUCUGUGUCUCAGUCUUAGUGAAGGAGGUGUGGCCUCUGUGUGUCAGUCACAGUAAAGGAGGUAUGGCCUCUGUGUGUUAGUCUCAGUGAAGGAGGUGUGGUCUCUGUAUCUCAAUCAUAGUGAAGGAGGCGUGGCCUCUGUGUCUUAGACACAGUGAAGGAGGUGUGGCCUCUGUGUCUCAGUCUUAGAUAAGGAGGUGUGGCCUCUGUGUUAUAGUCUCAGUGAAGGAGGCGUAGCCUCUGUGUCUCAGACACAGUGAAGGAGGUGUGGCUUCUGUGUCUCAGUCUCAGUGAAGGAGGUGUGACCUCUGUGUCUCAGUCUUAGUGAAGGAGGUGUGGCCUCUAUGUGUCAGUCACAGUAAAGGAGGUGUGGUCUCUGUGUGUUAGUCUCAGUGAAGGAGGUGUGGUCUCUGUAUCUCAAUCAUAAUGAAGGAGGUGUGGCCUCUAUAUCAUAGUCUCAGUGAAGGAGGUGUGGCCUCUCUGCCAGUCUGCCUGUCAGUCGGAAUAAAGGACAAUCAGAGAAAAACACUUUAAAAGGAAAAAAGCAAAUUUUAAGGAUUGCAAAAUCACUUUUAGGGCAAAAACACACAAACUCUUGGGGUAAUGUACACACACACACACACACACACACACACACACACACACACACA
Ictalurus punctatus (channel catfish) is the source of this 2088-nucleotide long non-coding RNA. RefSeq lists it as uncharacterized. Lineage: Eukaryota; Metazoa; Chordata; Actinopteri; Siluriformes; Ictaluridae. The record is from RefSeq and is a predicted model, not a curated record. The transcript has 2 exons.